GAUUUAUCAAGAAAGGUGGAGGGAUUUGGCCCAAUGAAACCUUAGCAACCUGCACGGUUCCAGAAGUGUAAAGGUGCUAAUUCCAACCCGAUGGGGGAGAUAAGUG
Molecule: non-coding RNA, 106 nt
Organism: Chryseobacterium indologenes NBRC 14944
Lineage: Bacteria; Pseudomonadati; Bacteroidota; Flavobacteriia; Flavobacteriales; Weeksellaceae
Source: Rfam